GCCCCCGUACCCCAACGGUUAGAGGGAGGAGACUUAAAAUCUCCCCAGUGUGGGUUCGAAUCCCACCGGGGGCA
This 74-nucleotide transfer RNA is filed under the name Actinomycetes bacterium. RNAcentral's name for it is "Actinobacteria bacterium tRNA-Leu". It matches the Rfam family "tRNA". Rfam says of the family: Transfer RNA (tRNA) molecules are approximately 80 nucleotides in length. The record is from RNAcentral. RNAcentral also lists the same sequence under 1 other name. Lineage: Bacteria; Bacillati; Actinomycetota; Actinomycetes.